GACGAACGCUGGCGGCGCGCCUAACACAUGCAAGUCGAACGAGAGAGAGGGAGCUUGCUUCCUCGAUCGAGUGGCGAACGGGUGAGUAACGCGUGAGGAACCUGCCUCAAAGAGGGGGACAACAGUUGGAAACGACUGCUAAUACCGCAUAAGCCCACGGCUCGGCAUCGAGCAGAGGGAAAAGGAGCAAUCCGCUUUGAGAUGGCCUCGCGUCCGAUUAGCUAGUUGGUGAGGUAAUGGCCCACCAAGGCGACGAUCGGUAGCCGGACUGAGAGGUUGAACGGCCACAUUGGGACUGAGAGACGGCCCAGAAUCCUACCGGAGGCAGCAGGGGGGAAUAUUGCACAAUGGGGGAAACCCUGAUGCAGCGACGCCGCGUGGAGGAAGAAGGUCUUCGGAUUGUAAACUCCUGUUGUUGAGGAAGAUAAUGACGGUACUCAACAAGGAAGUGACGGCUAACUACGUGCCAGCCGCCGCCGUAA
This 482-nucleotide ribosomal RNA is filed under the name uncultured bacterium. RNAcentral describes it as "partial 16S ribosomal RNA". It matches the Rfam family "Bacterial small subunit ribosomal RNA", at positions 28 to 523 of the family's 1533-position model. The record is from RNAcentral.